Molecule: ribosomal RNA, 608 nt
Filed under: Leuconostoc mesenteroides
Lineage: Bacteria; Bacillati; Bacillota; Bacilli; Lactobacillales; Lactobacillaceae
Description: bacterial SSU rRNA
Rfam family: Bacterial small subunit ribosomal RNA
Source: RNAcentral
AUACAUGCAAGUCGAACGCACAGCGAAAGGUGCUUGCACCUUUCAAGUGAGUGGCGAACGGGUGAGUAACACGUGGACAACCUGCCUCAAGGCUGGGGAUAACAUUUGGAAACAGAUGCUAAUACCGAAUAAAACUUAGUGUCGCAUGACACAAAGUUAAAAGGCGCUUCGGCGUCACCUAGAGAUGGAUCCGCGGUGCAUUAGUUAGUUGGUGGGGUAAAGGCCUACCAAGACAAUGAUGCAUAGCCGAGUUGAGAGACUGAUCGGCCACAUUGGGACUGAGACACGGCCCAAACUCCUACGGGAGGCUGCAGUAGGGAAUCUUCCACAAUGGGCGAAAGCCUGAUGGAGCAACGCCGCGUGUGUGAUGAAGGCUUUCGGGUCGUAAAGCACUGUUGUAUGGGAAGAACAGCUAGAAUAGGAAAUGAUUUUAGUUUGACGGUACCAUACCAGAAAGGGACGGCUAAAUACGUGCCAGCAGCCGCGGUAAUACGUAUGUCCCGAGCGUUAUCCGGAUUUAUUGGGCGUAAAGCGAGCGCAGACGGUUUAUUAAGUCUGAUGUGAAAGCCCGGAGCUCAACUCCGGAAUGGCAUGGAAACUGGUAACUG